RNAcentral lists this ribosomal RNA (228 nucleotides) under uncultured bacterium. Its description in RNAcentral is "partial 16S ribosomal RNA". It matches the Rfam family "Bacterial small subunit ribosomal RNA", at positions 29 to 240 of the family's 1533-position model. The record is from RNAcentral.
AACGAACGCUGGCGGCGUGGAUUAGGCAUGCAAGUCGAACGCGAAAGAGGGGGUAACUCCUCGAGUAGAGUGGCGAACGGGUGCGUAACACGUGAGCGACCUUGCCUCGUGGUGGGGGAUAGCCGGCCCAACGGCCGGGUAAUACCGCAUAGGGUGGUCUUUUCGCAUGGAGAGACUAGCAAAGCCCUGGAGCAAUCCAGUGGCGCCACAGGGGGGCGUCGCGGCCUA